AUAGGUUUGCAAUUGCAAUGACAUAUUAUGGUAUAUCGAUGAAUGUCGCAAAGUUCAGUGGAGAUGUUUUUGUUAAUUUUGCUGCGUCAUCGUCAGCCGAAUUUUUUGGAAUAAUUUUCUGUUGGCUUGUAACGGACAGAGUGGGUCGUAAAGGCCUCUUCUGCACUGCUAUGAUUUUGGGAGGUGUGACGUGUAUAUGCACUAUAUUUACAUCUCUAUAUGCCGAUAAAUGUAAGUUAACUUGUUUGUUAUAUCUUUGUGCUAAAAGAAAAACGAAAACUCAUGUCCCUCAUGAUCAAUUUUGUGAAUUGUCUUAAGCAAAAUGUUUAAAGAACAUAAAGGUUUGAAGUAUGUAUUACAUAAACACUACUUGAAUAUAUUUUCUAUGUUUGUAUAAAUAGCAUUUGUUUGAUUAUACGCAAUUGAUUCUGUAAAUGAAGACUAAAAGUAGUGGUAUAUUAGAAUCAUGUCUAAAGCUUGCACCAGCAACUAAUGACAGAAUAAAAUAUUUAAACAAAAGUUCAAAGCCGUUUUGACUUAAUGAAAACAUGAAUGCAUUCUAAGCUAUAUAUAUGUAAUUGUGACGACAGCCUAAACAGAAUUGCAAUCAAUAUAUUUUUAAAUAAUUAAAUAGCGUACACAACACGAUAAGCAUUCUUAAAAGACAAAUGUCAACAUUAACAGAGCGAAUGUUAUCAUCGUUUAAAAAUGAAAGCUUAUACAUUUAUACCAUUCACAUAUAUAUUAUUCCUUUUUCAGCUUUGGUGUGGCUAACAACAACCCUUGCAAUGGUGGGAAAGUUUUUUUGUACCAUUACAUUUUUUGUUAUUUAUAUAUUCACUGCCGAGCUAUUUCCAACUGUUCUGCGUGCAUCUGUUAUUGGAGUUGCAAGCAUGACUGGUCGUGUUGGGUCAAUAUCAUCUGCAUAUGUAGGUGAAUUGGUAAGUUUGAUAGACACAUUCUGUUAAUCCAUAGUUCCAACAAACAAAGAUAAAUAUAGUUCAAUGAUCCGAUUAGACACUUCUGUAGUUUUAUCAGCGAUAGUAGAAUGAUCCUAAUGGAAACGACGGUUGUUUAUCAGCGAUAGUUGAAUAUUCCGAUUGGACACUAAUGUCGUUUUUUCACCGAUAGUUGAAUGAUCCGAAUGGACACUUUUAUCAUUUAUCAGCGAAAGUUGAAUGCUCCGAUUGGAAACUACUGUCGUUUAUCAACGAUAGUUGAUUAUUCAGAUUGGACAUGUCUGUCAUUUAUCAGCGAUAGUUGAAUAUACCGGUUGGACACUAUUGUGGUUUAUCAGCGAUAGUUGAAUGAUCCGAUUAGACACUUGUAUCGUUUUUCAAAACAGUUCAUAAUAUGAAUCAUUUUAAGCUGUAACUGAUUAUAAAAUAUAUACUUAAAUAAACGUCAGUAGCACGCACGAGAGAAUCGCUUAGAAAACUAUAUUAUUCUAUUUCUUAUCAAGGGUGACAUAAUACAGUCCAAGUUUGGAAUAGCACUUCCACUGAUCAUAUUAGGAGGGUUUGGAUUGAUUGCUGGGUUGUUAUCUCUGACCUUACCAGACACUACAAACACAUGUCUUCCAGAGUCUAUAGAUGAUGCAAAAGAAAUACAAGUCAGGUAAAGAAUCAUUUCUAGUGUCAUAGAACAAAACAGAACAAAUUAAAACAAAUAUUACGCUGAUACAUGUAAAAAAAUAUUAGAUUUCAGACAAAGAAAAAAACAAAUCGAGAUGUUUUCAGACCAUUUAAUGUCCAAGUUCAAACUUGAAAUAUAUAGAAGAGGAAAUGAUAUGACUAACAUGAACUCCUAAUAAGGAGAUCCAGUAUGAGUUUUCAUAGGUUGAAAAACAGAUACUGUAUGUUAUUUUUCAUGAAUCUUUAAACACUGCUUAACGGAAUCAUUGAAAUAUUUUAUCCUUGACGAUGGUUAUGAUAUGAAAUAACUAUCAGAUAUCACAAGACAACAUAAUUAAUAAAAUUUGCAGACAUGACAAAAAGUAAAACAAAGACAAAAUUCUACUCAUAAAGCAAAAGAUAAAGCAAAAUUUGUGAAGUAUAACUGAAAUUAUUUCAUACUUUUAAAGAACUACCAGUAGACUGUUUCGUAGCUGAUGCACUGCCAUUUUCAGAAUAUAGAUAUCAUCCAGGGGCAAUUGAUUAGGAACUGACAGUUUAUCACCAGCCCAGUAGCCAGAACAUCGGUAUUGGGAUGCCCGGGUUUGGCUGUAUUUAUGGCUUUUUGGGGGUUUUAUCAGAAAGAAACGGUUGUAUCCCGUUCAGACAAAAGGCGUCAUAUUGAACAUGUUGAAUACGGUAUCAUUUGGUUGUAUAAUACACCUACAUAUUCUUGUAUUGGCAAUUUAUUUUUUUCCAUAAAAAGUACGUGAUUAAUUUCAUUAUGACUCGUCAGUGUAUUUUAACAGGAGUAAACCGCACGGGUGUUACUAUUGCAACAUGAACAUGUGUUCGUAGAUCAUUUUGAUUUUCUGUUUAAUGUACUGUGCUCUAUGGAGUGUCUUUUCGGUCGCUAUAUUCUUUGACAUGAGGUGUUAUUAUGUAAGUCAAGCCAUAAUUUGACUACAUGUUCAAAAUAUUGUUGUAUAAAUAAUUUUAUCUAAUUCAUCUUUAAUUAUGAGGUUUCGUGUCAACAAUGAUUAAAAUGCAAGACAGUCCAUAUACUUUAAACAACUUAAACAUUCUCAUUUAAAAUUAAAGAUCGGCCAAAUAAUGUGCCUAAAGCUUGAUAACAGUUUAAAUAGCCUUCCACUUUCGUCUAUGGUGUCUGUGGUUUUCAUAUUCAAUGGAAUAUUUGUCGACAUAAAGUUAUAAGAGAUACAUCUAAGUAAUAUAAAAAGUGGACAACCCGUUUACUUGUUUUAUUAUGUCUUUGUCUUUCCAAUAUUAGGAUGCAAACGCUCAUGUUUGGCUUUAUAAAUAUUUUGAUAUGAGUGUCACUGAUGAGUCUCAUGUAGACGAAACGCGCGUCUGACGUACUAAAUUACAAUCCUGGUACCUUUUAUAACUAUUUACACCACUGGGUCGAUGAAACUGCUGGUAGACAUUUCGUCCGCGAGGGCAUCACCAGCCCAGGAGUCAACACUUCGGUGUUGACAUGAAUAUCAAUAAUGAGUUUUUUUUUGUUAUAAAUUCCCUGUUUACAAAACUUUGAAUUUUUCGAAAAACUAAAGAUUUUCUUAUCCCAGGCAUAGAUUACCUUAACUGUAUUUGGCACAACUUUUUGGAAUUUUGGAUCCUCAAUGCUGUUCAAACUUGUACUUGUUUUGCUUUAUAAAUAUUUUGAUAUGAGCGUCACUGAUGAGUCUUAUGUACAUGUAGACGAAACGCGCAUCUGGCGUACUAAAUUAUAAUCCUGGUACCUUUGAUAAUUAUUCAAGGCAAAUCUGGAAACGCUCGUUUCAGACGCACGAAAUUAAGACAACACUAUUAUUUUCAUGAAGCAAAACAACGCUAUAUUAAAGUGAUAAUCAUUAGAAGAUCAACAUAUUCAUUGAACUAUCUUAAUGGUCGGUGUUUUAAUUUUCCACCGACAUGUUUCCCUGGUCUUAGAUUUUAAGAUACAAGUAUGGUCGUUUGAUCCGUUAUUUUUCGAUUAUGGGCUAAACCCCAUUUUGAGAGAGUGCGGAUUUUCAUAGAAGGUGAUACUUGCAUGCAAGGGGACACUUACAUUUUCGACGUACCCGCUCUCGCUUCUUUUUAAGUUAACGUGAGUCCCUUAAUUUUAGAUGUUUGUCUCUUUUGAAUCGAUUUAUUAGAUUUAAACAUCGAUAAACUCCCCUCAUCUUAAUCUAUUCGAACCAUAUUGUAAAGUUAAUUUAUAUUUUUUUUUCAUUUAGCACGAAGAAUGAGAAUGGAAUAGCUGUUAACGAAUGUGAACUUGAAACAUUGACAGAGAAAAUAUAGAAGUGACUUUAUAAGGGCCAUUCAUUCGUAACAAAGUGUGGUUAUAUAUUCCCUUUCAAUAUAUAUAUAUAUCACUGAUACAUAUAACUAGUCUUAUUUAUAUAACAUUGAAACAACCUAUAUAAGGGUAUAAUCGGUAUACCAUUCGUAAAUUAUUUCCUUUUCAAAUCUUUUAACUUAAGAAAGUAAAAUCAAAAUAUAAAUUGUACAUGUAACGUCCUAAAUUAUAAUUAAUGAAGAUUUGAUUACAAAAUGAGUAACCAAGAGUACUCUCAAAUCUGUAAUUAAGGUAGCACAAUACAAAGAUUUUUUCACUCCCAAUGAGACAACUUUAAACUUAUGUAAUUUAUUUCAUCCUUCUUUAUAUUUUAUAAAUGAGAUACCAAAAGAAAGAAGAAAGAUUAAUCUUUCAAAUUGUGAUAAUUUCAUUAUGACAUAAUUAUUACAUAAUUAAUUAUUAUGUAAUUAGUUGCUAUAUUGUGAUGUCCACACUUGAAUGAAUUUAGCGUCUUUGUUCUUCAUAGCAUCCCAAAAUAUUUUAUAGAUUCUUGUACAACACAGCUUGAUCUCCAAAACCGUUUCUCAGAUUUCCAAAAACAUCAAUAGAACAAAUUUUAUACCCAAUUGAAUUUAGUGGUCUCUUAUGAACUGAUGUUGCAAACUUCAUUGAAGAUUUAUGAGAGAAUGAAAUAGAAUAGGAAAAAUCUGAGACACAGUUUUGGAGGUCAAACUAUGAUGUGCAAGAAUCUGUAAAAUAUUUUGGGAUGCUAAGAAUAACAAAGAAGCUAAAUUCAUUCAAGUAUGGACAUCACAGUAUGGCAACUAAUUACAUAACAAUUAUGUAAUAAUUAUGUCAUAAUGAAAUUAUCACAAUUUGAAAGAUUAAUCCUUCUUCUAUCUUUUGGUACCUCAUUUAUAAAAUUUAAAGAAAGAUGAGUUACCUUAAGUGCCCUUUUUUGUUGGAAAUAACCAAACACAUCAAACGAACGAAAAACAAUUGUCCUUUUACUGACUUGGUAUAGGCAUUUCCUUAAAUUUAAAACGGAGGAUUAGACCUGCAAUCAUAGCUAGCAAAACCUCUUACUUGUAUGACAGUUGCAUAUAAUUCCAUUAUGUUGACAACAAUGUAUGAGCUAAAUGUGUAAAAAUAUCAAAAAAUAAGGUACAACAGUCACCAUUGUGUUCUAGUCUAAACUAGUUAAAAAAAAUAGCAAUAUAGACGCUAUCUACAGACAAAGUUCAUCAGCUAAACAAUAUAGAAAUGUAUAGAUUUAAGUCCAUGCAUGUCACAUUAACUCAAAUGGCGGUUGUAUAAAUACGGAGCCACACCUAUAGCAUUUUUACCAAAAUUCACUAAAUGGUAAUGUUUUAAAGUUUUGAAGGAACACAAUAUUACUCAAAAGAAAUUGUCUCAGAUCGGUUUUAAGCACAAUAAAGUUGUACAAGACUAAGAGAAUAAGCACUAACGGAUAUUAGUGCAAGGCGCAUGGCCAAACGAAACUGAGCAUUGAAGUAUUUCAUCCCAGCUUAAAAUGUCAACGGUAUUUUAAAAUCUUAAUUAAUGAACGAUGUUAAUAUACGUAUGUCUCGUCUGGACAGUUCACAGUUUACAAAUUAUCAAAUCUUACCUCAUCCAAAACACUUUUAAAUAACUGUACAUUUAAGAACUAUUGCGAGGUUUUUAUUAUUGCUAUUGAUAUAAUUAUGUGAAAACC
Molecule: long non-coding RNA, 5635 nt
Filed under: Mytilus galloprovincialis (Mediterranean mussel)
Lineage: Eukaryota; Metazoa; Mollusca; Bivalvia; Mytilida; Mytilidae
Source: RNAcentral